GGAAGGAUUACAUGAAAAAUAACCUUACCAAGUGUAAAUAAUUACAAGAGAAUGCCAUUACAAUUAAAAUUUCAAAGACAAAAUAAAAAUUUGCGUGGAGGGGUAAAAUUGUAAAAUUCCCGCACGCGAGACGCGGAUCCCGGAUCCUACACUCGGAUCUUUUGCGUCUGUGAAUCUGACCCGAUGAGAUUCUAUAUUUCCUAUUGGGCUUAGAUAUUUCCUACAGGCCCAUCGUUAAUCCCUUUUACUUCAAAUUUCCGAAUCUGUAUAGAUAAUACGAAAUAAAAACAUUAGCAACACAAAUCAAACAAUACCAUAACUAUUUUUCCGGAUCAAUCAACUACUCUGUAUAUUGCUUUAACAAACAAAUCUCAUAAUUUACACUUCCUAAAAUAAAACGUAUUUAUUUCUAUUCCAUAUAAUAACAAAUCAAGCAUAUUCUUUACUUAUUCUAAAUCGGGAAUAAGUUAGCAAUUAAUUUUUUGAUUAAUUACACUCAAAUCUCGCAAAAAUCUUACCAUAUCACCGGAAACAGUUCAUUCCAAUGUAAAAAUAUAUAUUUAGACGGCAAAUUAAAUGCAAAACUUAUUAAUUCCUAUUACCCUAUAUUAAUAGGAAAGAUACAAUAUUGUAACCUAUUCGAUAAUUAUCGCCCAAAUCUCGCAAAGAUCUUUCCAUAUCAACACAAACUAUCAAUGCCAAUUUUAAAAAAUUUCUUUACAUGCAAAACUCAAUCAUUCAAAUUUCUCUAUAUUGAAAGAUAUAGAAUUCUAACUUAUUAUAUUUCCCUUAGUAGUUGGUAUUCAAACUCACACAAUCUCUACAAUAUCCAUAUUCAGUUCGAUAUUGAUAUACCAAACAAAUAAAUCUCCCUAAAUCAAGCAUAUAUCUUUAAGAUCCUAAUCCCAAAAUAUAUUAUACGGCCUAUAUUCUCUAAAACCUAAUAAAACUAAAUGCUCCAUACGAUUACUAUAAAUAUAGGGACCUGCAUUAGAAAGAACUCACCUUUCAAAGCUUUACCAUUACCACUUCACUAUUUCUCUAAUAAAAUGGCAGCUAUUCAAGCAUUCACCCCUCUUGCUGACAUUAAGCCCUUCAAAACACAUUGGAAAAUUCAAGUUAAGAUUGUGCAUUCGUGGACACAAUACACUCAAUUCACCGGGGAGACAGUUGAAAUGGUUCUUGCUGAUACAGCUGUAAGUAUAAGAACUAUCAUUUUGAAACAUAUUAAACAUUUAUCAAUCAUCAAUAUCACUGGAUGAUUAACAUGAGUUCUUUUUAUCUGUUGCCAGGGUACUUUGAUUCAUGCUACUGUUAAGAAGCCACAAGUGAGCAAACUGCAAAGGUUCAUAGUUUCUGGAGAAUGGCGUAUUAUCGAGCAUUUUACGCUAACCAAAUCAACAGGAAAGUAUCGAGCCACAAAACAUGGUUUCAAAAUGUCCAUGAUGGAAAAAACUGUGAUAAGUCGCACUCCUUCUGUUUCUGAUGACAUUUAUGUGGAUCUGGCAAACUUUCCAGAUAUUUUGAAUGAAGCAGGAUUGAGUGAAAACAUCUUAAUUGGUACUAUAUCUAUCUUACUUUCCAUUGUAUAUUUUCUUUUUCUAUUAUAAUAGGAACUUCUUCAUGAAAAUAUAAUAUAUUACUCUCUUAUUUUGCAGAUGUACUUGGACAGGUAGUUAGUUUCAAUGAAAUGAAAAUUCAUGAUGUUAAUAACAAGAUCACAAAGAGACUUGAGUGUGAACUCAGAGACACAAAGUAAGUUUUAUCAUGAAUCUACCUUUUUUAUUUAAUCUUACAUACAUCUAAACUUAAAACUUUCUCAAUAUUUUUGUUGUAUUGUAGUGAUGAAAGGCUGAAAUGCACUCUUUGGGGGAGAUUUGCUGAGGCAAUGUAUAAUGCAUGUCAAAAUGCAGGGACUGAGAGAGUGAUAUGCUUACUUCGGCUUGCAAAGAUCAACUCAUUUAAAGGUAUAGAAUGUUGUUACUGGGAAUAAUGGAUGAUUUUGAAAUCGAAAUGAAAUCAGAACAUAUGUGAAAAUACUAAUAUCAUGCUGUUUGUAGGUGAAAGAGCUGUUUUAAAUUCAUUUGAUAUGUCUCUAUUGGAAAUCAAUGCUACCUACCCUGCUGUUCUUGAUUUUGUGGCCAAGUAAGAUAUGUUUAAACAUCACAUUUCUUUUACUAAUAUAGAUAACUGUUAAUCCUUUUUAUAAUAUCUAAAGUUGAUUUCGUGUUCUUUUAUUUGUUAAAAAUAGUUUACCACCGGAUGUUAUUCCACUGACUAUCGAAGACUCGAAGGCAAAACAAGUGAAUGCAGAACAGAGAAAAAAGGAUUACUAUGAUCGUUUUCCAAGGAAAACCAUCUCUGCACUCUUUUGUUUUGCUGAGGUAUUUGUAUUGGAUAAUAUUAUUUUUUCUAGAAACUAUUAAAUUCUCUGUCUAUACUACUAAUUAUCUAUUUUUUUGUAAUAGACUGGAAAGUGCAACAUAAUUUGUACCAUAAUGAAUAUCGACACAGACUAUUCUUGGUAUUUCUUUAGUUGCCUCAAGUGUAGCAAAACUGCCUAUAAGAUUCCAAAGGUUGAAAAUGAGAUUGUCAAGAAAGGCAAGAAAGAAAUGUUUUGGUGUCCAACAUGUAAGGAAGACACUCCUAAGGUGAUACCAAGGUAAGACUUUGAGAUUUGCUAAUAUAUAUCUACAUUUGUCAGAUAAUAACUAGGUACAUAAUCUACUUUCCUGUUCCUUUGAUAUGUAGGUAUCUUUUAAACGUUGGAGUGAUGGAUAGCACUGGAGACACUAAAUGUCUUAUCUUUGAUAAAAGUGCACAAGAGAUAAUCGGUGUGUCUGCAGAGGAUUUGCUGGAAGGGAAGUGGGAUGAGGUAAACAAAUUUAUUGUUAAUAUGUAUAUAGACCAUAUUAUUCAAAUAUCUUAUAUACUUUUUUCAAUCUAUCAUAACAGAUUCAGGAUCCUACAAACGUGCCUCAGCCAAUCAGAGAUUUGGUUGGAAAGACUUUCCAGUUUCUGGUGACUGUUGGAAAGGAAAACAUCAAUGAAACUGAUGAUACCUACAAGGUUUCAACCGUUUGGCUGGGUAAUGAAUCUGACAAUCUAGAUACUAUUGAAGAUUCUGACCAGCAGACUGACCAACGUAAUGACCUCUCUAUUGAUCAGGUAAUGUUAGUAGGUGCAACCAAAAUCAAUCUAUCAAAAAGUUAUUCAAGUUUAUCACUAAAGGGCUGGAUCGUGUUUCAAUUAAAUAGUGAGUACCAUCAGUUAUACUCAAGUCAGGGAAUAAAUUAUGGAUACUCAUAACUAUAUAAUUUAAUGACUUUGUUAUAUGAAAGAUUAUCUAUUAUAUAUUGACUCUCCUGAUUUUCUUACUUACAAGAAGGACUUGCUCUGACCAAUAGUGGUGAAACCACUGACCCUUUAGAUCCUACAUCAUCCACUCCUUCAUCUAAGCGUAGUAUGGAUGCAGUUUCUGAGGACAUUGAAGGUCAGGGUUCUACUACUAAAAAGGCAUGUGUCUCUUCCCUUCUUGGUGACAUUGAGAAGGAAGAGAUUGAAGGUGGCAAGAAUUAAGUUGUGCUGGCUGGGAAUAAUGUAGGGAGCUUGGCUGUAGCAAUUAGUUUUCUAUUUUUUCUUUUGUUCAAGUUUCAAAACUUAUUUAGUUUUUUCCUUCAGCUAUGUGCUAUUUAAUUCUCAGUUAUUUUGAAUUCAAGCAAUAAACUCUAAGCUUCUCCUUAAACGAAACUCUUUGCAAAAUAUAAACUAACUUAUGCUUAAACUAAAGAUCACAAAACAGAAAGAGAAAAUAUACUAACCUGUGCUUUGUACUGAUGAAUUUUCAUAUAUAAGCCCCAUUACUGUAGCUAACACUGCAGAUAAAAGAAAACACAUAUUAGUAACAAACAUUGAGAGACUGCGAUGAAUCUAUACUAAUCUGACGAUAUCUAUACUAUAAAUGGCUAACUUAAUUAAUAUGUGAGAUAUAUAAGUACAUAUAUUUUAAAGGGCAUAUGUGCAAAUAUUUUAAAGAUCGUAAGCUAUUAAAAUCUAUCUCCUAUUCUAAAUCGUUAACUAAUUGGAAUAGUAUAGCAGUAUAGAUAAAUCAGUUUUAAAAGGGUUCAUUGUUGCAGUAUAACAACUGUUUUCACGACCAAUUUAAUAUUUAACCUAUUAAUAUACAAGAUUCUAUGCUAAAAAUAAGAAUCAAUCAAUUAGAUUUUAUUAUGAAUAUGGAAAAGAAAAUAUAUUCUGUAAUCUUUUCAGUUUAAUGCUAUCACACUAAAUCAGGCCGAGACGAUUUCUUUACAAUCAUUACAUAACCAUUUUACACCUUCAAUCCUAAUCUACAGCGACUCGCCUCAUUAGCAAAGAAACAACUAUAAGGUCAGUCUUUUAAUAUCUUUCAACAUAUAACAUGUUCAUUGACAAAUGACAUAAUUGGAAUUAUUUUUCUAACAAAUCUAUUUUGUUUUUCAGAAUGAAGAGAAGAAAAAAUGAAACAGUAAAAGAAAAUAACAAUGUAAUGCAGACACCUAACACAAAGCGUUCUAGGUCUCAGCUAUAUGAUGAAAACAUAAAUCCAAAUCUACAGAACCAACAAGAUAGGAGUGAUGUUCAAGUAAAAGGGAUUUUUAAUCGAUUGAGAUCUGGAAUAGGUAACAUACCAGCCCAGCAGUGUGAUUCUGAAGCCUUACAGACAGUAACUGGUCCUUCUUCUUCUGCAGCCAUACAAAAGGAAACACAAGGUAUGUAAACAUUUAUAUUCCAACAAUAUAGCAUCUACAUAUGAUACAACUAAUAAAUAAUCAUAAUGUAUAGGAUUUGCAUCUACAGUUACUUAUAAUACGAGUGUAAGAUCAGCCAAAAAAACAGCAAGGACACAGAGAAGACCUUUUCAAGAUGUGCAGAACAUUAUUAAUACAUCACAGCUUCACAGCGAGGUUCACCAAACUCCACUUAAUCCACAUAAGCCACCAGAAAAAAAGGGGAAAAAGUGGAGUCCACCAUCUGUUAAUAGCAAACAAGGUAUACAUGCCUCUCAAUAAUAUGAAACUAUUACAUAAAAAAUAGACCUGAUAGAUCAACACUGAUGGAGUAAUGUUUAUUUCAUGAAGCUGCUAAGGGUAUUAUACUUACCAAUUCAAGAAUCAAUCUGAGGUUCCCAAAGUCUUUGGCAAAGGAGAAGAAAACAUCUGACAAGAGUUAUGAUACAACAAUCGAAGAAGACUCUGAUGAGAUCCUGAAUUCAAAGGAAGAAACAUAUAUUAAUAUGAGUAAGUAAAAAUCAUUAUGAUAUAUUUUCUAAACUUAAUAAAGCAUCCACUAAUCAGGGGAAAAAACUAUGAUAGGUGAUUUGGAGGAAACACGUGAACAGGUUUACGAGUGUAGUAGUCCAGAUGAAAAUGAUUCAGAAAUAUCUGAAGAUUAUGAAACCAUAGACGAUAUCCCAAUCGAAGUCAAACAAAGAUAUGAGUUUUUAUCAAUGUUAGAUGAAAGUUUGACCAAAGCUUUUGGAGAAAUAAAAACUCCUAAUGUUUCUAGCAGAAAGAACAAAAACACAAGUACUACAUCAUUGGUUUAUUUCUAAUUCUUUUCUUACACAAACUUUACUUAUGCUAAACUUAUUCCCGUUAUUGUAGAGUAUCUAGAUCAUGGAGAUCCUGUCUACUCAUGUUCCUACUGCGGUGCUAUUAUGUGGUAUGGCGAACGCAUCAACAGACAUAAGAAAGUUCGUAAACCAAUUUUUACUCAAUGUUGUCUGCAAGGAUCUGUGAAACUGCCUUUCCUCCAUAAUCAACCAGAACUGUUAUUUGCUUUUCUAAGCAAUGAUGAUGACAUGAGUAGACACUUUAGAGAGAACAUCCGAGCAUAUAACAUGAUUUUUUCAUUUACUUCUCUUGGGGGUAAGUGUGAUAAUUCUGUUACAGCGGGAAGGGGUCCUAAUAUGUUUCAGAUACAAGGAGAGAAUUACCACCAGAUGGGAAGUUUGAAAC
This 5999-nucleotide long non-coding RNA is filed under the name Arabidopsis lyrata. RNAcentral's name for it is "long non-coding RNA (ALYR_LNC002715)". The record is from RNAcentral. Lineage: Eukaryota; Viridiplantae; Streptophyta; Magnoliopsida; Brassicales; Brassicaceae.